UGCAUGUAUGACUGUAAGUUGCUUUGGAUAAAAGGGUCUGCUAAAUGGUAUUAA
Molecule: non-coding RNA, 54 nt
Organism: Salmo salar (Atlantic salmon)
Lineage: Eukaryota; Metazoa; Chordata; Actinopteri; Salmoniformes; Salmonidae
Source: Rfam